CGCCCUUAGAGUUUGAUCAUGGCUCAGAUUGAACGCUGGCGGCAGGCUUAACACAUGCAAGUCGAGCGGUAGGGGAGCUUGCUCCCUACGAGCGGCGGACGGGUGAGUAAUGUCUGGGAAACUGCCUGAUGGAGGGGAUAACUACUGGAAACGGUAGCUAAUACCGCAUAACGUCGCAAGACCAAAGAGGUUCGUCUUGCCAUCAGAUGUGCCCAGAUGGGAUUAGCUAGUAGGUGGGGUAAUGGCUCACCUAGGCGACGAUCCCUAGCUGGUCUGAGAGGAUGACCAGCCACACUGGAACUGAGACACGGUCCAGACUCCUACGGGAGGCAGCAGUGGGGAAUAUUGCACAAUGGGCGCAAGCCUGAUGCAGCCAUGCCGCGUGUGUGAAGAAGGCCUUCGGGUUGUAAAGCACUUUCAGCGAGGAGGAAGGUGGUGAGUAAUCUCAUCAAUUGACGUUACUCGCAGAAGAAGCACCGGCUAACUCCGUGCCAGCAGCCGCGGUAAUACGGAGGGUGCAAGCGUUAAUCGGAAUUACUGGGCGUAAGCGCACGCAGGCGGUUUGUUAAGUCAGAUGUGAAAUCCCCGG
Molecule: ribosomal RNA, 589 nt
Filed under: uncultured Serratia sp.
Lineage: Bacteria; Pseudomonadati; Pseudomonadota; Gammaproteobacteria; Enterobacterales; Yersiniaceae
Description: bacterial SSU rRNA
Rfam family: Bacterial small subunit ribosomal RNA
Source: RNAcentral